RNAcentral lists this ribosomal RNA (407 nucleotides) under uncultured bacterium. RNAcentral describes it as "partial 16S ribosomal RNA". It matches the Rfam family "Bacterial small subunit ribosomal RNA", at positions 28 to 526 of the family's 1533-position model. The record is from RNAcentral.
GACGAACGCUGGCGGCGUGCCUAAUACAUGCAAGUAGAACGCAGUUGCGAACGGGUGAGUAACGAGUAGGUAACUACCUAUUAGAAGGGGAUAACUAUUGGAAACGAUAACUAAUACAGCAUACUGGUAAAUGGACCUGCGGUUUAUUAGCUGGUAGUUAGGGUAAUGGCCUACCUAGGCCACGAUACAUAGCCGACCUGAGAGGUUGACAGGCCACACUGGGACUGAGACACGGCCCAGACUCCUACGGGAGGCAGCAGUAGGGAAUCUUCGUCAAUGGGGGGAACCCUGACCCAGCAACGCCGCGUGAUUGAAGAAGGUUUUCGGAUCGUAAAGCUCUGUUGUUAAUGAAGCGGUACCUAACCAGAAAGGGACGGCUAACUACGUGCCAGCAGCCGCGGUAAUAC